Molecule: long non-coding RNA, 242 nt
Filed under: Mustela putorius furo (domestic ferret)
Lineage: Eukaryota; Metazoa; Chordata; Mammalia; Carnivora; Mustelidae
Description: lncRNA (ENSMPUG00000031814.1)
Source: RNAcentral
AAAAUUUCUUAUUAGAAUAAAUGCUAAAUGGGAUGGAAACUCUUCGGUGAAAAGUGAGUUUACAAUAUGCGGAGGUAACUGAGGACACAGAAAUCAAUUGGUGGGCCUUUGGCCUCGACUGGGUGGAAGAUGUGAACCUGUCUCUCUGGGUCUCAGGAGACUUGAACUCCUCAAGGAUGCAUCUGUUACUUACUCAGAGUUGUUUGCAUGUGGCCUGCGCAAAGGGUAACAAUGGAUCUUCA